RNAcentral lists this ribosomal RNA (464 nucleotides) under uncultured bacterium. Its description in RNAcentral is "partial 16S ribosomal RNA". It matches the Rfam family "Bacterial small subunit ribosomal RNA", at positions 339 to 795 of the family's 1533-position model. The record is from RNAcentral.
CUACGGGGUGCUCCAGUGGGGAAUAUUGCACAAUGGGCGCAAGCCUGAUGCAGCCAUGCCGCGUGUAUGAAGAAGGCCUUCGGGUUGUAAAGCACUUUCAGCGGGGAGGAAGGGAGUAAAGUUAAUACCUUUGCUCAUUGACGUUACCUGCAGAAGAAGCACCGGCUAACUCCGUGCCAGCAGCCGCGGUAAUACGGAGGGUGCAAGCGUUAAUCGGAAUUACUGGGCGUAAAGCGCACGCAGGCGGUUUGUUAAGUCAGAUGUGAAAUCCCCGGGCUCAACCUGGGAACUGCAUCUGAUACUGGCAAGCUUGAGUCUGGUAGAGGGGGGUAGAAUUCCAGGUGUAGCGGUGAAAUGCGUAGAGAUCUGGAGGAAUACCGGUGGCGAAGGCGGCCCCCUGGACGAAGACUGACGCUCAGGUGCGAAAGCGUGGGGAGCAAACAGGAUUAGAUACCCUCGUAGUC